AUACUUACUUGACAGGGGAGACACCAUGAUCAAGAAGGUGAUUCACCCAGGGUGGGACUCAGUCACUAUAAGGCACUAUGGUUGAGAUGACUCCUGCAAAUUCCAUUAAUGCGGGAAUCUCGACUGCAUAAUUUCUGAUAGCGUGAGACUGCGUUCGCACUCUCCCC
Molecule: small nuclear RNA, 167 nt
Organism: Syngnathus typhle (broad-nosed pipefish)
Lineage: Eukaryota; Metazoa; Chordata; Actinopteri; Syngnathiformes; Syngnathidae
Product: U1 spliceosomal RNA
Exons: 1
Source: RefSeq, a predicted model, not a curated record